Cinara cedri is the source of this 274-nucleotide non-coding RNA. The record is from the annotation of a GenBank genome assembly. NCBI's taxonomy places the organism in Eukaryota, Metazoa, Arthropoda, Insecta, Hemiptera, Aphididae.
GUCAUUUUCAACUAAACUCCGCUCAGAAUCGUUUUUUCGUAAGUAAUGGUUUACCGUUGCUUACAGGUAUACAUUGAACUAUCUAAAACAAUAGCUGCACCUGUCCCUAUUAUCCUAGGACGUCUUUUUAAUAUUUUACAUUACAUAAUACAAUCAUAUUUUAAUGGUAUUAAAAUAACGCGCGUCUAAAUGGCACUUAAGUUUAUAAGUUAUAAAUUAUAAAUUUACAAUAUUGUUUAAUGCCUAGAUAUACGGUAGAAUAACGCGAUAGACG